CUUGUAAGUUGGAAGGAAGUUCAUAAAGAAGUGACACGUGACAAGUGGUUUCCUCAAAAGACAGUGCUCCAUGCUAAACUGAAAGGCAGUCACUACAUGCAUGUCGUACAAAAAACAUAAAUUGCUUGUUAAAAACAUGAGUUGAAGUCCUUCCUUUGUUCUGCCACAGACUCCUUGUACCUGUCUCUGUACCACUGUCCCUUCUGCAAUUAGAAAUGUUUGUAGGCAGUCACUAAUUCCUAGGAGUUGAAAAUGGCCUGCUGGAAUGAUCUGGUGCCUACUUGCCUUCUAGGCCCUGCCAGGCCUUUUCUCAGGAAAGCUGUGCCUGGAAACUUCCUAACAAACAGCGAACAUCCUCAGAGCUGUUAGUAGGAGGGAUGCUCUGUGGUAGUGACCGUAUCACUGUUAAGUUUAACACUGUGGUAAGGGGAAAGUAGGUUGUAUAGGUUCAGUGUGUGCAUACUCGAAUUUGAGGAAGGGAAUUGGAAGAACUGUGGGACAUUUUCACCACAGAUUCAGCAUGGAGAAUCAGACAGAAAUGAAUCUGUGCUGAACUCAGUAAGUUGGGAGGGCACGGGCUGAUAGGGCCUGGUGCAGGUGGAGCCCUGAGGUGGGCCUGGGCUCCGCGGCCCUGUCGGUGCUCGGGGCCUCGCCAGUUGAGUGAAAGCCAUUCUUGUGUUGUGCUGUGCUGCAAGGAGGAAGGGAGAGCAGAAUUUGGCUCAGGUGCAUCUGCAUCUGGGGAUAGAGGAGGCAGCCCAGAGGACUGGAAAAGAAUUUGGGCCUGAAUCUUGCACCACAGAUACUGCAGAGAAUUAGCUCUGACGGUCUCUGGAGGAACUUGAGAAGUGUGGAGGUUGGAAAUGAAUCAGUUAUGCAUCAGCCACAUUUUAUACUCUUGUCCUGAGACUAAAGCAGUUAUGGUCUGGGCUCCUGGUUCCAGAACUACAGUGAUGUGUUCCAAGUCUACAAUGGAGACAUCUUGGGAAUACUUACAAAGAACUCAGUCCAAACCUCACCCCACCGCACACAUCCACAGUGGCAUGAGGGAAAAGGUAUUGUUGUACUUGCUUACCAUUAUAAAAGGAAGGGAGAAUAAAUAUUCUGAUGCCAUUUUACAAGCCAG
This 1123-nucleotide long non-coding RNA is filed under the name Numida meleagris (helmeted guineafowl). RNAcentral describes it as "lncRNA (ENSNMEG00000014681.1)". Lineage: Eukaryota; Metazoa; Chordata; Aves; Galliformes; Numididae. The record is from RNAcentral.